This 5038-nucleotide long non-coding RNA is filed under the name Amborella trichopoda. RNAcentral describes it as "long non-coding RNA (ATRI_LNC000097)". The record is from RNAcentral. Lineage: Eukaryota; Viridiplantae; Streptophyta; Magnoliopsida; Amborellales; Amborellaceae.
ACACACACUCACACUCACACUCACACUCACUCACACUCACACUCACACUCACACUCACACUCACACUCACACUCACACUCACACUCACACUCACACUCACACUCACACUCACACUCACACUCACACACACUCACACUCACACUCACUCAUACACAUGCACACACACACUCACACACACUCACUCAUACACAUGCACACACACACACACACACACCCAUACACAUGCACACACACACCCAUACACAUGCACACACACACUCACACUCACACUCACAUUCACACUCACACUCACACACAUACGCACUUAUACUCACAUUCACACUCACACUCACACUCACACUCACACUCACACACACUCACACUCACACUCACACUCACACUCACACUCACACUCACACUCACACUCACUCACACUUACACUCACACUCACACUUACACUCACACACACACACACUAACACACACUCACUCACUCACACUCACACUCACUCACACUCAUGGACUCACACACUCACCCUCACACUCACAUUCACAUUCACAGUCACACUCACACUCACACUCUCACUCUCACUCUCACUCACACUCACACUCACACUCACACUCACACUCACACUCACACUCACACUCACACUCACACUCACACUCACACUCACACUCACACUCACACUCACUCACAUGCACACACACUCAUACACUCACGCUCACACACUCAUGCUCACACACUCACGCUCACGCUUACGCUCACACUCGCACUCACACUCAACUCACACUCACACUCACACUCACACUCACACUCACACUCACACUCACACUCACACUCACACUCAUAGAUAUUUUUAUUACACAUAUAUACGUGUUGUGAAUUGGCUGAUGUGUGUAUAUGUACGAUAUGUAUAUACUGAUACGUUUGUGCGUGUAUGUAUACAGUUGCUUGCUAUCAGUUAUAAACAAUUAUCAAUGUGUAUACUGUGUAUGUAUAUACCAAUACGUGCAUUCUAUAUGCACUGAUAUAUAUGACCAUAUAAACACUCAUUAGCAGUUUUUAUAUAUAUAUAUUUAUAUAUAUAUAUUUAUAUAUAUAUUGUGCCUAUAUACGAUAUGUAUAUGCUGAUUUGUUUAUGCAUGUAUGUAUAAACUUUCUAUCAGUUAUAUAUACUGAUAUGCGAAUGCACAUGCACUCUUACGAAUUCAUAGUGCAUACAUACAUUUCUUUAUACACUGAUAUUUAUGACCAAAUAGGCAAUUAUUAUCGAUUUAUAUAGUUACUAGUGCAUAUGUUCACUGAUAUGUAUAUGCGUACACUCAUAUGCAUAUGUAUAAUGGGUUUAUUAGUGAUAUAUACAGUUAUUAACUCAAUUUGUGUACGUAUUGAUGUAUAACAAUGUUUACCAUUGUUUUCAUUGUAUUUUUAUAUACUAAUGCAUAUAACCAUACAAAACAUUAGUUAUCAGCUCUAUAUAUACUUAUUAGUGUGUACAAAAUACAUUGACAUGUGUGUGUGUAUGUAUAUAUACUGAUAUGUGUGUAUGUGUAAAGGGCAUAACUGUAUAUAUACAGUGCAUUAUAUGACCUUAAUAUGUACAUUUCUAUAUAUACAUUGAUGUAUAUGACCAUAUAUACACUGAUUAUCAGUUUAUACAGUUAGUAACUUAUAUGUACACUGUUUUAUAUACUACACACACUCACACACACUCACACUCACUCACACACAUACUCACAUUCACACCCACGCCCACGCCCACGCUCACAAUCACACUCACACUCACACUCACAUUCACAUGCACACUCACACUCGCACUCACUCACAUACACUCACACUUACACACACUCACAUUCAAACUCAGAUAUUUAUACUACACAUAUAUGCAUUUUGUGUAUGGACUAUUGUGUUUAUAUAUACGAUAUGUAUAUACUGAUAUGUUUAUGCGUGUAUGUAUACAGUUGCUUGCUAUCAGUUGUAUACAAUUAUCAUUAUAUAUAUACUGAUAUUUGCACACUUAUGCACCUUUACAAGUUGAUAAGUGCAUAUAUAAUGUGUAUGUAUACACUUAUACAUGCAUUCUAUAUACACUGAUAUAUAUGACCAUAUAGACAUAUAUUAAUAAGUUAUAUAUACAUAUAUAUAUAUAGUGUGUUUAUAUACGAUAUGUAUAUACUGAUAUGUUUAUGCAUGUAUGUAUAAACUUUCUAUCAGUUAUAUAUACACUGAUAUGCGCACGCACAUGCACCCUUACGCAUUGAUUGCGCAUAUAUACAUUUUUAUGUACGCUGAUAUAGACCAUAUAUACACUUUUUAACAAUUUCUAUUGUUAUUAGCGUGGAUGUACAUUGAUAUGUAUAUGAAUGCACAGGUGGCUGUUGCAGUCAAUAAGGUUGAACAUAUCCCCCCCCUUCUUUUUUGAUUAUUUUCCUCUCAAUUUUUUUCAUUCGAAUCAUUAUCUUCCAUGUGAAUGAUUUUUCCGUAUACAAUUUUCCAAACUAUGAUAAAUUCAAGCCUUCAAGGAGAUUAUUUCUUCUGGCUAUCAUGCACGCACAUGCACCCUUACGCACAUGCACGCACAUGCACCCUUACGCAUUGAUUGCGCAUAUAUACAUUUUUAUGUACACUGAUAUAGACCAUAUAUACACUUUUUAACAGUUUCUAUUGUUAUUAGCGUAGAUGUACAUUGAUAUGUAUAUGAAUGCACAGGUGGCUGUUGCAGCCAAUAAGGUUGAACAUAUCCCCCCCUUCUUUUUUGAUUAUUUUCCUCUCAAUUCUUUUCAUUCGAAUCAUUUUCUUCCAUGUGAAUGAUUUUUCCGUAUACAAUUUUCCAAAUUGUGAUAAAUUCAAGCCUUCAAGGAGAUUAUUUCUUCUGGCUAUCACCUCUUAUCAGAUAAGCCUUGGUGAAUUUUGAUAUUGCUUUGUAUAGAAUUAGGCAUAAAAAUGGGUUUCUUCUCUUGAUGAAUUGGGUAUGCUAAAUACCCAAUUGUGAUAGUCCAUCUAAAUUUUAUGUCUUAUUUGUACUUGUUUCUAUUAUUAUUGAUGAGCUUCAUCUUCAUCGAGUUUGCUUGUAAAGCAACAAGCAUGAAAGCAACUUAUCAUCGGGGUGGAUCUCUUUACGUUAUUGGAUAUUUGAGAUCUUGAUCUUGCAAGCUGGAUUUGAUUAAUGGUUCUUUCUUAUCUUGAUCUUGCAAGCUGGAUUUGAUUAAUGGUUCUUUCUUAUCUUGAUCUUGCAAGCUGGAUUUGAUUAAUGGUUCUUUCUUCUCUAGUAUAAUAUUUCUCUUGCUUUUUUCAUGCAAAAAUGAAGUGAAUUUUCUGAAACUUUACUUGUGGUUUGUAAUUUUUUAAGUAACUUUUUCUUAACACACACACAUUCUUGCUUCUUUCAUGCAAAUAUGGAAUGAAUUUUUUGGAGUAUUACUUGUGGUUUUCAAUUUCAUUAAGUAACUUUUUCUUAACACACACAUACACCCCACAUACACACACACACUCUCUCACACACACACACACACACACACACUCACACUCACACUCACUCACACACACACACACACACACACGCUCACGCUCACACGCUCUUGCUCACACUCACACACUCACUCACUCACACACUCUCACACCCACAUAGUCACACACAUUAACACACAGUCACACUAACACUCACACUCACACUUAGAUAUAUAAUACACUUAUAUGAGUGUUGUGUAUGGACUGAUGUGUGUAUAUAUACGAUGAUAUGUUUAUGCAUGUAUGUAUAUAAUUGCUUGCUAUCAGUUAUAUACAAUUGUCAAUAUAUGUAUACACUGAUACGUGUAUGCACAUGCACCCUUACGUGUUGAUAAGUGCAUAUAUACUGUGUAUAUUUACAUUAAUACAUGCAUAUUAUAUACACUGAUAUAUAUAACCAUAUAAACACUUCUUAGCACUUUACAUAUAUAUACAAUGUGCAUAUUUACGACAUGUAUAUAUUGAUAUGUUUAUGCGUGUAUCUAUAAACUUCUUAUGAGUUAUAUGUAUAUUGAUAUCCGCACGCACAUGCACCCUUACUCAUUGAUAAUGCAUAUACAUUUUUAUAUACACUGAUAUAUAUGCCCAUAUGGAUACUUCUUAUCAGUUUAUACAGUUAUUGGUGUUUAUGUACACUGAUAUGUAUAUACUCUCACACUCACAUGCAUAUGUAUAAUGGGUUUAUAUAUGCACUAAUAUAUAAAGCCCAUGUAUAUACAUACUUAUUAUCUUUGAUAUAUAUAUAAUUAUUAGCUCAAUUUGUGUAUGUAUUGAUGUAUAUCAAUAUAUACCAUUCUUUUCAGAGUAUAUAUAUAUACCGCUGCAUAUAACCAUACAAUACAUUAGUUAUCAACUUAUAUGCAGUUAUUAGUGUGCAAACUUACAUUGAUAUGUGUGUGUGUGAUGUAUGUAUGUAUACGAUGUGUAUAUACGGAUUUGUGUGAAUGUGUAAAGUGCAUAAAUGUAUAUAUAUAGUGCAUUAAUAUAUACAUUUAUAUAUACACUGCAUUAAUAUAUACAUAUAUAUACAUUGAUGUAUAUGACCAUAUAUAUUCAUUAUUAGUUUAUACCUUUAUUAACGUAUAUGUACACUAAUUUAUAUACUACACACACACGCACUCACACUCACACUCACACUCACUCUCAUCCUCACACUCACACUCACUCACUCACUCAUACACACACACACUCAGACCCACACACUUACACUCGCACUCGCACUGACACUGACACUGACACUGACACUGACACUGACACUGACACUGACACUGACACUGACACUCACUCACACUGACACUGACACUGACGCUGACACUCACUCACACUCACACUCACACUCUCACUCACUCUCACUCUCACUCUCACUCUCACUCUCACUCUCACGCUCACGCUCACGCUCACGCACACUCACACUCACACUCACACUCACACUCACACUCACACUCACUCACACUCACACUCACACUCACACUCACACUCACACUCACACUCACACUCACACUCACACUCACACUCACACUCACUCACACUCACACUCACACUCACUCACACU